AAAGGUCUGGCUUUUUUUCUCGAGAAAAAGGAGACUUUUAGCAGAAAGGGGAAUGUGGGUUUGUGGAGUGGAGAGUUUGCUUUGUUAAGUCGGUAGCUCUCCUUUCGUUUCCCAAUUAAAAAGUCUGUCUUUCUAAGCAACCCUUCUCUUUGGUUUUGAUCUUUUCACUGAGGACGAAUUUUUUUUAAAAAAAUAGCUUUGUUUGGUAGAGGAAAAUGUACAGAAACUGACCUG
RNAcentral lists this unclassified non-coding RNA (234 nucleotides) under Hevea brasiliensis (rubber tree). The record is from RNAcentral. Lineage: Eukaryota; Viridiplantae; Streptophyta; Magnoliopsida; Malpighiales; Euphorbiaceae.